This 499-nucleotide ribosomal RNA is filed under the name uncultured Sphingobacteriales bacterium. RNAcentral's name for it is "bacterial SSU rRNA". It matches the Rfam family "Bacterial small subunit ribosomal RNA", at positions 880 to 1382 of the family's 1533-position model. The record is from RNAcentral. Lineage: Bacteria; Pseudomonadati; Bacteroidota; Sphingobacteriia; Sphingobacteriales.
UUGCCAGCCCGCUCAGAAACUCAAAGGAAUUGACGGGGCCCGCACAAGCGGAGGAGCAUGUGGUUUAAUUCGAUGAUACGCGAGGAACCUACCUGGGCUCGAACGUAAGAUGACUGUAGGUGAAAGCUUACAUCUCUUCGGAGCAUUUUACGAGGUGCUGCAUGGUUGUCGUCAGCUCGUGCCGUGAGGUGUCGGGUUAAGUCCCAUAACGAGCGCAACCCCUACCUUUAGUUGCCAUCAGGUUAAGCUGGGGACUCUAAAGGAACUGCCUACGCAAGUAGUGAGGAAGGCGGGGAUGACGUCAAAUCAGCACGGCCCUUACGUCCAGGGCUACACACGUGCUACAAUGGCCGAUACAGAGGGCAGCUACCUGGUGACAGGAUGCAAAUCUCCAAAGUCGGUCUCAGUUCGGAUCGGAGUCUGCAACCCGACUCCGUGAAGUUGGAUUCGCUAGUAAUCGCGCAUCAGCCAUGGCGCGGUGAAUACGUUCCCGGGCCUU